Molecule: transfer RNA, 75 nt
Filed under: Staphylococcus aureus
Lineage: Bacteria; Bacillati; Bacillota; Bacilli; Caryophanales; Staphylococcaceae
Also listed under: 4 other names
Description: tRNA-Glu
Rfam family: tRNA
About the family: Transfer RNA (tRNA) molecules are approximately 80 nucleotides in length. Their secondary structure includes four short double-helical elements and three loops (D, anti-codon, and T loops). Further hydrogen bonds mediate the characteristic L-shaped molecular structure. tRNAs have two regions of fundamental functional importance: the anti-codon, which is responsible for specific mRNA codon recognition, and the 3' end, to which the tRNAs corresponding amino acid is attached (by aminoacyl-tRNA synthetases). tRNAs cope with the degeneracy of the genetic code in two manners: having more than one tRNA (with a specific anti-codon) for a particular amino acid; and 'wobble' base-pairing, i.e. permitting non-standard base-pairing at the 3rd anti-codon position.
Source: RNAcentral
GGCUCCUUGGUCAAGUGGUUAAGACACCGCCCUUUCACGGCGGUAACACGGGUUCGAGUCCCGUAGGAGUCACCA